Molecule: small RNA, 59 nt
Filed under: Salmonella enterica
Lineage: Bacteria; Pseudomonadati; Pseudomonadota; Gammaproteobacteria; Enterobacterales; Enterobacteriaceae
Also listed under: 1 other name
Description: partial RtT sRNA
Rfam family: RtT RNA
About the family: This family represents a bacterial cis-regulatory element known as RtT RNA.
Source: RNAcentral
GUAGGCAACGACCCGAAGGGCGAAGCGCGCAGCGCUGAGUCAUCCUUCCCCCACCACCA